GACGAACGCUGGCGGCGUGCUUAACACAUGCAAGUCGAACGGAAAGGCCUCUUUCGGGGGGUACUCGAGUGGCGAACGGGUGAGUAACACGUGAGUAACCUGCCCUUGACUUUGGGAUAACUUCAGGAAACUGGGGCUAAUGCCGGAUAGGAGCUCCUGCUGCAUGGUGGGGGUUGGAAAGUUUCGGCGGUUGGGGAUGGACUCGCGGCUUAUCAGCUUGUUGGUGGGGUAGUGGCUUACCAAGGCUUUGACGGGUAGCCGGCCUGAGAGGGUGACCGGCCACAUUGGGACUGAGAUACGGCCCAGACUCCUACGGGAGGCAGCAGUGGGGAAUAUUGCACAAUGGGUGGAAGCCUGAUGCAGCAACGCCGUGUGCGGGAUGACGGCCUUCGGGUUGUAAACCGCUUUCGCUCAUGACGAAGCUUUGCGUGACGGUAGUGGGUAAAGAAGCACCGGCUAACUACGUG
RNAcentral lists this ribosomal RNA (467 nucleotides) under uncultured bacterium. Its description in RNAcentral is "partial 16S ribosomal RNA". It matches the Rfam family "Bacterial small subunit ribosomal RNA", at positions 28 to 507 of the family's 1533-position model. The record is from RNAcentral.